This 253-nucleotide long non-coding RNA is filed under the name Vigna radiata. Its description in RNAcentral is "long non-coding RNA (VRAD_LNC016486)". Lineage: Eukaryota; Viridiplantae; Streptophyta; Magnoliopsida; Fabales; Fabaceae. The record is from RNAcentral.
UGGAAAUAACUCUACAAAGGAAUAAUCCUCUUGGCCACUAAAAACAAAAUCAGUCAAGAAGGGAAAGGAAGAAAACAAAUAUGUGACUAUUCAACUGAAGGUGUGAAGACGGAGUGAAGAGAAAGAUGAGAAAUUAGCCAAAAGUUUUUUAAAAAAAUAAAAAGAAAAAAAUAUAGUUGCGGCUUCUAUUAAAACCGCCCAAAUUUAGUAAAUGUUUUUAAAAUUGUAGAAAAAAAAACCCUAUUAUAUUAUA